Molecule: transfer RNA, 73 nt
Filed under: Bos taurus (domestic cattle)
Lineage: Eukaryota; Metazoa; Chordata; Mammalia; Artiodactyla; Bovidae
Also listed under: 5 other names
Rfam family: tRNA
About the family: Transfer RNA (tRNA) molecules are approximately 80 nucleotides in length.
Source: Rfam by way of RNAcentral
UCCCUGGUAGUCCAGUGGCUAAGGCCCUGCACUUUCACUGCAGGCAAUCAGGGUUCAAUCCCUGGUCAGGGAA